CGACAAUGGAGGAUCCACAGUUUCUGCAAAAACGGUGUAGAAAGUGGUAGAAAAUGAGAAAAGAUUAUGCUAAUAGAAUCGCUUGACAUGACUUUUUUGGAAGUGGUUUUAAUUAUGGUACAUGUCCCUUUGUAGGAUUGAGGAAGACGCCAUGCAUAAUCCUUGUUUUCAUGGGUUUUGAAUGUUUUGAAGUAUGGUGAAUGGUCCAUAGAGCAUGGUCACAUCGCCACAAUAAAAGCUGGCGCCGGCACAAUGGAUCCUUUGAUAGAUUCAACGAACGACGUCGCGUACUGUUCCUCAAACAACAACUUCUGAUAUGAUGUAAGAAUUUUGGACGUAAGAGUUGUCUG
RNAcentral lists this long non-coding RNA (350 nucleotides) under Vigna radiata. RNAcentral describes it as "long non-coding RNA (VRAD_LNC008971)". Lineage: Eukaryota; Viridiplantae; Streptophyta; Magnoliopsida; Fabales; Fabaceae. The record is from RNAcentral.